This 73-nucleotide transfer RNA is filed under the name Ovis aries (sheep). It matches the Rfam family "tRNA". From Rfam's summary of the family: Transfer RNA (tRNA) molecules are approximately 80 nucleotides in length. Their secondary structure includes four short double-helical elements and three loops (D, anti-codon, and T loops). Lineage: Eukaryota; Metazoa; Chordata; Mammalia; Artiodactyla; Bovidae. The record is from Rfam by way of RNAcentral.
UUCCUGGUGGUCUAGUGGUUAAGACUCUACACUUGCACGGCAGAGGGCACAGGUUUGAUCCCUGAUCUGGGGA